RNAcentral lists this ribosomal RNA (253 nucleotides) under uncultured bacterium. RNAcentral's name for it is "partial 16S ribosomal RNA". It matches the Rfam family "Bacterial small subunit ribosomal RNA", at positions 524 to 776 of the family's 1533-position model. The record is from RNAcentral.
UACAGAGGGGGCAAGCGUUGUUCGGAAUUACUGGGCGUAAAGAGCGCGCAGGCGGCUUGGCAAGUCGGGUGUGAAAUCCCGGGGCUCAACCCCGGGACUGCAUUCGAUACUGUCAGGCUAGAGGUAGGUAGGGGAGAUCGGAAUUCCUGGUGUAGCGGUGAAAUGCGCAGAUAUCAGGAGGAACACCGGUGGCGAAGGCGGAUCUCUGGGCCUUACCCGACGCUCAGGCGCGAAAGCUAGGGGAGCGAACAGG